Molecule: long non-coding RNA, 1092 nt
Organism: Esox lucius (northern pike)
Lineage: Eukaryota; Metazoa; Chordata; Actinopteri; Esociformes; Esocidae
Source: Ensembl
GGCCUUUCUUGUGAUGUGGGAAUGUGCACUGUGGGAAGAAUGGGCUGGAAUCUAGAGGUGUGCUCAACCAGACACCCCUGCAUCAUUUCGAAUUGAGAGAGCAUCAGAGCGCGCUAGUAUUUUCGUUACGCACAUUGUUGCUAGUACUUAGUAGUUACUUCUUCUUGUUAUUUCGAUAAUUUUAAACAUUUCGAAUUUGAACAUGGCUCCUAAAAGUGGGAAAGCGAAAUCCAAGACCAAGUACACAUACUUGGAGGAGAUUUUUGAGGAGAUUCAGCGAGAGAGUGACCGAGAGCUAGACAAGGACUCUCUUAGUGAACAAAGUUUUGAUUCUGGCGAGGAAGAAUUGUUCUUGGAAGGAAAGGAUCCCGUUUUAGAUUGUGGAAGCGACUCAGACUCGGAUGAUCUCUGGGAGCCGGCUGAAAGAGACAACCACAAUCAAGCAGUCCUGUCCUCACUACUUCAGGAGCAUCUACAUCUGCCAUUGUUUCUGGGUCUACAACAAGCACACCUUUUGUCUCCAAAAUCACUCCAGGUCCGAUGUCAUCCACACCUACCCCCGUCCGGCCAUCCAGAGGUGUGAAGAGACCAGCCCAGAGACAAAGACGGGCCAGUGCACCAGCUGACACCCCCACUGAGGGAGAGGACCGUUGGCACACAGUACUGGAGGAAGAUGUGGAGCCACGUCCACCCACAUUCAGGCCUAAAAGGCAGCCUGGACCUCAGCUGGACAUGACUGGGACAUACAGCCCCCUCCAUCUGUUCCAGCUGUUUAUUACUACCUCUGUUCUUGCGACGCUGGUGUCGAACACCAACAAGUAUGGGACUAAAAAGCAAGCUGGAAAAAAAGAGGCAUGGAAGACCAUUUCCAUCAAUGACAUGUACUCCUACAUAUCACUGGUCAUUUACAUGGGGAUUGUGCUCCUCUAGCAUUCCUGCCUCCUCUAGCACUCCUGCCCCAGGACCUGCCUCCAGUGGUGCGCACAUACCAAAGUAUCUGGUUGCAGACCUGAAUGUGCCUCAAGGCCAAAAGGGUACAGUUGGAAGGCGCCGUUGUACCCUGUGCCAUAAAAAGUCACCUAUUACCUGCAC